AAUAGAUACCCUGGUAGUCCACGCCGUAAACGAUGAGUGCUAAGUGUUGGGGGGUUUCCGCCCCUCAGUGCUGCAGCUAACGCAUUAAGCACUCCGCCUGGGGAGUACGGUCGCAAGACUGAAACUCAAAGGAAUUGACGGGGGCCCGCACAAGCGGUGGAGCAUGUGGUUUAAUUCGAAGCAACGCGAAGAACCUUACCAGGUCUUGACAUCCCGGUGACCACUAUGGAGACAUAGUUUCCCCUUCGGGGGCAACGGUGACAGGUGGUGCAUGGUUGUCGUCAGCUCGUGUCGUGAGAUGUUAGGUUAAGUCCCGCAACGAGCGCAACCCUUAUUCUUAGUUGCCAUCAUUCAGUUGGGCACUCUAAGGAGACUGCCGGUGAUAAACCGGAGGAAGGUGGGGAUGACGUCAAAUCAUCAUGCCCCUUAUGACCUGGGCUACACACAUGCUACAAUGGACGGUACAAACGGUUGCCAACCCGCGAGGGGGAGCUAAUCCGAUAAAACCGUUCUCAGUUCGGAUUGUAGGCUGCAACUCGCCUAC
Molecule: ribosomal RNA, 544 nt
Filed under: uncultured bacterium
Lineage: Bacteria
Description: bacterial SSU rRNA
Rfam family: Bacterial small subunit ribosomal RNA
Source: RNAcentral